This 522-nucleotide ribosomal RNA is filed under the name Triticum aestivum (bread wheat). Its description in RNAcentral is "partial small subunit ribosomal RNA". Lineage: Eukaryota; Viridiplantae; Streptophyta; Magnoliopsida; Poales; Poaceae. The record is from RNAcentral.
AUGAUAGCGAGCGAUUUCAAUGAAAUUUUGUAUUCCCAUGAAAAAGAAGGUGGAGCACCGAGGCCAAUGCACAUGAUGUAGAACUUUAGAGAUGCUCUAGUUGACUGUGAGGUGGAGGAUAUGGGUUGUAGCGGUGAUCUGUACACCUGGAGAAGGAGGAGACUCAGGGAGCGGCUGGACCGAUCGGUAUGCAAUGGGCAGUCUCAUGGACUGUUCCCAAAUACAAAGGUCAUAAACACUGCUCAUAUAAAGUCGGAUCACAGACCACUUUUCAUCGAUACCGAGGGAGAUGCGCGGGUAGACUCUCAUACCCAUCGGAGAUGUUUUGGGUCGAGGUGGCUGCAAGAGGAUAACAUCAUGCAGGUGGUGUCUGAUGCAUGGGAACGUACAGACCCGAUGGCGCCAAUUGCAGAACGAACAGGGAGUGUCCAUUGCACUCUGCAUCAGUGGGAUCGCUCGAUCUUGAAGGCACCACAACGCAGAUUGAAGGAACUGAAGGAGGAGCUAGAAAAGUUGCGGUAG